Molecule: long non-coding RNA, 5453 nt
Organism: Marmota monax (woodchuck)
Lineage: Eukaryota; Metazoa; Chordata; Mammalia; Rodentia; Sciuridae
Exons: 2
Source: RefSeq, a predicted model, not a curated record
UGUUGGUUGAAUUACGCCCUCUGGUGAUAGAACGGUGUUAGUAGCAGCCUCCUGUUGUAGCUUUUUCCCUAAUAGCUGUUUCUCCUCUAAGCUUUCUUCCUUUAAAUUUUCUUCCUCUGUCUGACUAGCUUGAGAGACCUUCUCUUUUGCUUGAUCUAAAAUGUCUUUCUCCAUGGUCUGAACCUCUAACAAUUUACUUAACACUCUUUCAGUUUGUUUUUUACUAAUUUCUAAUCUGUUAUAAAGAUAACGCAACCCAGUAAGAUAACACAAAACAAAACUGAAACAGAAUGAAACAAAACCGGAACAAAAAAUCGUUGUAUCAAUUUUCCUAUUUUCUUGACAUGUGCAUUUGUGGUCUAUUUCUAUCUCUUCCUCAGGGGCGAACAACUUCAAACCUUGAGCCAACCAUUUUUCCCAAUCUGCCUGAGAAAAUUCUAGGGAUAGGCAGCUUGAAACAAACACAAAACAAAUCAAAACAAGAACACAUUGUUUUUUAAAAUGGUCACCCAUUCUCUCGCCUUCCCUUAGGGGCAAGCAAUUUCACUUACCCAGAAGCUUCAGACGUUCCCCGAAUGGGCCGCCAAAUGCCGCAGUCUGGUUGGGCACAAAUCAUGAGCCACUGAAGCAGGAACAAACUUUAUUUUUAAACUGCAGGAAAACACUUCACACAGCUCCCGGGGAAUCCUCCCGAACGCGCCAGGAGGCUUGUCCAGGAACCCCCAGCCGGAAAUAUCUCUCCCGGAAAUCCCUCCUCCUGCACUUCCCCAACCAAUGGGAACUCUCGGGGAAUCCCCGGAAAUCCCCAUGAGAACAACAAAAUAGUGCGAGAACUCAAAAGUUGCGGCAGAGGCGGAUAGUAAUGCCUCGCCUGUCAAUCAAUACUGUUGGCAAAAUGCCAGGGGCCAUACAGACUCGGCCGUGGCUCUCAGCAAUAUAUAUAUAUUUUUUGUAUAUGACCCUAAAAGCAAAAAUAGGCAAGUAGAUUAGAUGAAACUUAAAAGCUCUCACACAACAGUCAACAGACUGAGUAGACAUCCUACAAAAUAGGAGAUAAUAUUUGCCAAUUAUUCAUAUCACAAAGGAUUAAAAUUGACAAAGGUAAGGAACAAAGAAAACUUAACAAAAAACACCAGGUAAUACAAUGAAAAUGGGAAAAUAAUCUUAAUAGGCACUUCUCAAAAGAAGAAAUAUGACUAACCAAUAAAUAUAUUUUUAAAAUGCUCAUUAUCAUGAGCCACCAGGGGAAUGCAAAUCAAAAAUACCAAGAGAUAUCAUUAUGCCCUGAUUAAAAUGGCUAACAUCAAAACACAAAAACAAAAAUAAGAAACCAAAAUUACCACUGUUGCCAUCACAACAAAUAACAAAUUUUGGAGAGGUGUGCAGAAAAAUUAAACCUUAUACCUGUUGGUGGAAACGUAUAUCAGGAUAGCCAUUUUGGAAAAGAGUAUGGAGUUUCCUCAAAUUUAAACAGAUCUUCCAUAUAAUCCAGGUGUCCUGCCUCUGGUACACAGAUGGAAGAAAUGAAAUCAACAUGCAACAUACAUUCUUGCAUGUUGAAAAUAAUAUGACACUAUUCAUAAUAACUAUGAUAUCAUAUUAAAUUAUGUGUGAAUAAAGAAAAUCUGUUACAUAUAUACAAUAUAUUUGUAUUCACUCAUAAAGAAUAAAAAAAUCUUGUCAUUUGCAGCAAAGAAGAGAGAACUGAAGACCUUUGUAAGUAGGAGGUGAGAAAAAGAAAGACAAGUAUUACAUGGUCUCUCUUAUGUGUGGAAGGUAAAAUAGAUAUGAACCUGAAAGUUGAAGAGUGAUUUGUGGAGAUGGGGAUGUGUGUGUGCUGGUGGUGAGGAGGGUAGGGAGAUGGAGAGGAUGAAUUUUAACAGUAUAUGCUGCACACAUGUGUGCGAAUACCAUAGUGACUUUCAUUAAUGUGGACUGAUUACAUGUUAAUAAAAAACACAAUAGAAUAAUCUAAAAACAAACAAACAAAAAAUGAUGCAAAGAAAGCAUAGAGCAUUGGGUAAGACUAAAGCUUUCAAGUCAUGUACUCCAUUGACAGGCUCUUUAAACGUUCCAGCAUUCUAAGCUUCGAGAACAAAGAUUUAUUUCAGCUAUGGAGUUAAAGGGUAAUUUGGGAAGCCUGGGAAUUUCUAUGUGUCAUUCACUUGUAAAGUCUGAUUUUUAGUCUUUCUUUUUAGUUAAUUUGAAAGAGAAAUUUAAAAAUGGAGCAAUCGAGAUUCAAGCUGAGAAUCAGAGACACUGUGAAAAGCACUUCAUGGGUUAGUAGAAAAGACAGGGAGAGGUGAUUACCAUAAUCAUGAUUAAUGAGACUAUCAAGGAGUGGAAAACCAUAGAUUAGUAUGAUUACUAGUUGAAAUUGUAGGCACUGGCCUUGGAAGAAACUUUGUGAGAAGUGAGACAGCAAAAGUGACUGGACAACCACAGUCCAAUACAGUGAAAGCAUACAACACUUGCUUCAGCUCCACAGGGUCUAAAGCAGUUACUUCCACUGUGUCCAAUGGACAAUGGUGAAGCUGUGGAGUGGGAAACUCAAAAAUAUGCCAUGGGGGAAACUCUGAUCUUUAAAAUUUUAAGAUAAUACAUCUCUAAACUCUGUGUCUUCAUUAUGCAGUGAUUUGAAAACAUUGAUAAAGCUUCAUUAUGCAAUGAUUUGAAAACACUGAUAAAGCACAGGCAGCAAAGAUAAACCAACUCGGGCUCUCUGCUUCAAAUCAUCCCUUCUCCAUAAGGACUGAAUGGACCAAUAAUUAUAGGUCUGGCUCUUGCUGAAAUGUAUCCAUUAGAAACAGAAAAGAACACUCUGUUAAGGAUGGCGAUAUGAUGAAUCACUCACUUUUGGUCUUCUUCAACUCCUCUACAAGGCAGCAGGCUUCCUCUUGAACUCAGUGUUUGUCUUCACUAUCCCAAAAUUCUGCAGAGUCAUGAAAUGAGAAGUGCUUAUCCUUUUUCUUAAAUGAGGGGGAGCACAAUCUAGGAAGGAUAUCCCAGUCGGGGUAGAGGACGUUGACUCGUGGUAGCCAUAGAUUUGGUCAAGCUCAAUGUGGCUUUCUCUUUUUCAUUCUUCUCCUCCCCAUGACCAUUGCUCAGCCACCUCACAUGCAUGCACACUUACCAAGUCCUUCAGUAACUCUGUCAACCACAGGGAAACUGCCUCUUCCAGAAAAUACUUCCCCAUCAAUCAAGGCUUCCUUCACAGUUUCAUAUCCAUGCAACACCACAGUGGGCCUCGUACCCAAAUACACAUUGAACACAGGGCCAUAGGCUUUUGACAACUGGAAAGGAGAAAGAAAGUGCAGAUAUUAGCUGAAGAAGAUCAGCAUUUGAUCUACACGUUCGGAAUGAUUCAGACUGUUAUUCAGUUUAUUAUCAUUAUAUUUAUUAUAUAUUACAGAGCCAUAAGAAUCUUCAAAUAUCUCUGACUUGUGUUCACAAACUGAUGGCAAUCAUAGCUGUCAUGUAUGUGCCAUGCCUGGGUCAGGUGGUUGAUAUCUACACUAUAAUUAAUCCUCACAUUGAUGCAUUUACUUAUUUGUCCUGUUUUACAUGCAAAAGAAAUGAAGUCAGAGAGUUACAAGCUCAUUUGUAGUGUACCAUGUCUAAUAAACAGAAGAAUCAAAUUUGAACAUUUAUUCUUCAACUUCUGAAGUUUAACAACUUAUCAGUACCCAGUGCUUAUCCACCUUUGCACCAACACCCAGCUGAUUUCUUCUGGGUUAUUAGCAGGGCAUAGAGACUUUCAUUGAAUAAGCCCACAAUGAAUACUGGAAGUCUAUAUUUUUAAAAGUGACUCCAGAUGAUCUGAAGAUUUGUAGGUUGAGACCACAGCUAUUACUAACACAGCAAGAGAGUGAGUACCAGAGAGGCAGCACCAGGCCAUGCAGCAUAUCAUGGAAGAACAAUUUCUCUUGCCCAGCAACAAUUCAUAAGGUAUUGUCUGAACAUUUGUGUAAAACCCCCAAAGAUUCUGUUACUACCCAGUGGACCCUGAGUGGUUAAUUUUUUCCUUUACUCUCUUAUGCUUAUUCUCAGUUCAUAGGUUUCUUAUUAUUAAUUGCUUUAUUGAGGAAUGAUGGAGAAAUAAAAACUAUACAUAUUUGUAGUGUAAAACAUGACAUUGUGAUUUAUGUAGACAAUGCAUCCCAGCCCCAAACAAUCACCAUUCUAGUCUCUAUUGCUAUGAGUUGGAGGCUUUUUGGUUUGUUUUGUAAGAUUCCACAUGUAAGUGAGAUUACAUAGUGAAGAACUUUCUGUGUGUGUGGCUAUUUCCCUCAUCAUAAAGUCCUCCGGCCUCAUUCCAUAUUGUGGUAAGUAGUAGGAGGUCUUAUUUUUUUUUUUUUAAGGCUGAACGAUAUUCUAUUUUAUGUGUAAAUCACAUUUGAAUUAUGCACUCAGCCACUAGUGGCUGCUUAGGUUGGUGUCCUUUCUUGACUAUUGCAGAUAAUGCUGAAGUGAAUAUGGAGUGUGAACACCUUUUGGACAUACUGAUUUCAUCUCUUUGGCUAUAUACCAAGAAGUAGGGCUACUGGAUCAUAUGAAAUGAUGAAGCUGGGCCUCAGAGAUGCAAUGACUUGGCCAAGGGCACACAGACUGCACAUUGCCACAGUCUGGCUGGGCACAAAUCACGAGCCACUCAAGCAGGAACAAACUUUAUUUCCAAACUCCACCAGCACACUCCCCGGGAACUCUCCGGAACGCCACCCAUGCAGCUCCUCCAGGAACACCCCACAGGGUAAUAACUCCAACAAAGGAAAAAGCCCACCAAUCCUUUAUUUAAAGGGAAGCACAUCAAAGAGAUUUAUUGUCAGGAAGGCUUUUUCAAGGGAGACAUAGUCAGCAGGAGCAGACUAAUUGGGGCGUAUCUACUUGUGUGAUAUUUUCAUCUUGCUUCAGAUACCUGGCACCUCAUGGCUGUUCAGCAUGCCUAUAUUUCUUUCACACUAUGGCUGCAGGCAUCUGAAGCAGUAGAACUUAUAAAUCCCACACAAGACACAGAAUCUUUGUCAUUAAGAGUGGCCACCUGCAAAUGAGCAUGUCUUUUAGCACUGUUGUAUGAGAUAAACCCAAAAGGGCAGUCUAGUUGUCCACGGUGAAAAAGUUCAAAGCAAUGAUUCAUUUGCCACUGCCAACAAUGUUUUUAACAUCCUUUACAUUACUUAGUUUAUAUAAUUUCUCUCCCCACUAUAUAUGCUGUCAUAGUUAUGAAUACUGUGUAUUCCAUAAUUGAUACCUGGAGUUUAUUUUAAUGCUAUCUCUAGUUCACAGUUAUUUGUUGUUGCUGUUAUUAAUAGCUGACUUCAAUAUGCCUGUUUGUGUGGUUAUUAGUGCCAUAGAUGUUAUACUAGGGACUGUUUUUUAAAAUGCUUAAUAUUGUUUGUUGCUCUUGUUAUUCUUUCAUUUUCUUUUUUUUUAAUUAAAUUAUUUAUUUAUUCUAA